UACAGAGGGUGCGAGCGUUAAUCGGAAUUACUGGGCGUAAAGCGUGCGUAGACGGUUAUUUAAGUCGGGUGUGAAAGCCCCGGGCUCAACCUGGGAAUUGCAUUCGAGACUGAAUAGCUAGGGUACGGUAGAGGGAAGUGGAAUUUCCGGUGUAGCGGUGAAAUGCGUAGAUAUCGGAAGGAACAUCAGUGGCGAAAGCGGCUUCCUGGACCAGCACCGACGUUCAGGCACGAAAGCGUGGGGAGCAAACAGG
This 253-nucleotide ribosomal RNA is filed under the name uncultured bacterium. Its description in RNAcentral is "partial 16S ribosomal RNA". It matches the Rfam family "Bacterial small subunit ribosomal RNA", at positions 524 to 776 of the family's 1533-position model. The record is from RNAcentral.